UGAACGCUGGCGGCGUGCCUAAUACAUGCAAGUCGAGCGAACAGACGAGGAGCUUGCUCCUCUGACGUUAGCGGCGGACGGGUGAGUAACACGUGGAUAACCUACCUAUAAGACUGGGAUAACUUCGGGAAACCGGAGCUAAUACCGGAUAAUAUAUUGAACCGCAUGGUUCAAUAGUGAAAGACGGUUUUGCUGUCACUUAUAGAUGGAUCCGCGCCGCAUUAGCUAGUUGGUAAGGUAACGGCUUACCAAGGCGACGAUGCGUAGCCGACCUGAGAGGGUGAUCGGCCACACUGGAACUGAGACACGGUCCAGACUCCUACGGGAGGCAGUAGUAGGGAAUCUUCCGCAAUGGGCGAAAGCCUGACGGAGCAACGCCGCGUGAGUGAUGAAGGUCUUCGGAUCGUAAAACUCUGUUAUUAGGGAAGAACAAAUGUGUAAGUAACUAUGCACGUCUUGACGGUACCUAAUCAGAAAGCCACGGCUAACUACGUG
Molecule: ribosomal RNA, 495 nt
Filed under: uncultured bacterium
Lineage: Bacteria
Description: partial 16S ribosomal RNA
Rfam family: Bacterial small subunit ribosomal RNA
Source: RNAcentral